This 252-nucleotide ribosomal RNA is filed under the name uncultured bacterium. RNAcentral's name for it is "partial 16S ribosomal RNA". It matches the Rfam family "Bacterial small subunit ribosomal RNA", at positions 80 to 334 of the family's 1533-position model. The record is from RNAcentral.
CCAAAAGCUGGCGACCGGCGCACGGGCGAGUAACACGUAUCCAACCUGCCGAUAACUCGGGGAUAGCCUUUCGAAAGAAAGAUUAAUACCCGAUGGUAUAAUCAGACCGCAUGGUUUGAUUAUUAAAGAAUUUCGGUUAUCGAUGGGGAUGCGUUCCAUUAGGCAGUUGGUGAGGUAACGGCUCACCAAACCUUCGAUGGAUAGGGGUUCUGAGAGGAAGGUCCCCCACAUUGGAACUGAGACACGGUCCAA